UAUGAACAGUUUUGCCGAUCAUUUUAUCCCUAGGUAAUCGAUCCUUACAGUUCCUUCCUUCCACCGUUCCUUAUCCAGACCUUCUGUUUUUUUCCUCUGCUUCCCGAUCCUUCCACUCUUCCACACACAAAUCAAACUCAUAGGAGUUCCGACUUGUCGAUUCCUCUAUUAUACCAUCGAAGAGUGCAGUCGAUCGGUCGCUGAGUUCGCUUCUAUCGCUCCGCCAUAGCCGACGCCUUUGCUUUUUGUUUCAGUUUUCGCCGUAUCCAUCUUCUCCAUUUUCUUUCUUCUCUUCGUUUGUGUGCUUGCAAGUAAAAUCUUCGGUUUGUGUUUAGUUUUGUUUGGUUCGUUCGGUUCCUGCUGUUUUUUUUUUGCCCCCUAAGGCGGUGACGAAAGGAGUUCACUCCAAUAUUCCAAUGACGGAAGAGUCGGCACAGGUGGAGAAGCAACACAAGAAAACGCUGACAGAGGCCAACGCCACCGCCGUCGUUUUUUUACCUCGAUCACUACCACCAUCAGCCGACUCAUCUGGACCUUAGAUUAGGGCUUGAUGAAGACCAUCGCUCCCACCGGACUCACUCAAACGAGAAUGGAGGAAGAUUCCUUUCUGACCACCGCCUCAUCUGGACCUGAUAUUAGGGCUUGAUGAAGACGAUUGCAGACAAGAAUCACUGUUGGGUUAGUUUGAUUCCUUUCUCACCAGUCUCACCAGUGGAGAAGAACCUGUCGACAGACCUCUGACUUUGAUGGAUGUAAGUUUCCAUGUUAAUUUCAUUUAUUUUUUAUUCUUAAUCUCUAUGCAUAUGGUUGCCCAAAGCAAACCUGGUAGAUGUUAUGCUACACAAAUAUGGUUUGCGAUGUGGUUUUGAUUAUAGUUUACAGAUUUGUGUACUGAUUUUGCUUUAGUUAUUUAGGGUCUUGAUUUUGAUUUUCAGUAUUGGUCUUAUUCUCUUAUUUUUGGGUUUUGACUGAUUUAAAAAAAGUGUGGGUUUUGAUGUUGCUUCAUGAAUCAUCUUCUCCAUCACAAGUUGGCAAUAGCCCUAUGAGUAGGUAAUGAUGAAAACAUAUUUCAAUUUUCAG
Molecule: long non-coding RNA, 1080 nt
Filed under: Lactuca sativa (garden lettuce)
Lineage: Eukaryota; Viridiplantae; Streptophyta; Magnoliopsida; Asterales; Asteraceae
Description: long non-coding RNA (LSAT_LNC001507)
Source: RNAcentral